This 544-nucleotide ribosomal RNA is filed under the name uncultured Oomycota. Its description in RNAcentral is "SSU rRNA". It matches the Rfam family "Eukaryotic small subunit ribosomal RNA", at positions 312 to 851 of the family's 1831-position model. The record is from RNAcentral. Lineage: Eukaryota; Oomycota.
CUAUCAGCUUUGGAUGGUAGGAUAUGGGCCUACCAUGGCAUUAACGGGUAACGGGGAAUUAGGGUUUGAUUCCGGAGAGGGAGCCAUAGAAACGGCUACCACAUCCAAGGAAGGCAGCAGGCGCGUAAAUUACCCAAUCCUGACGCAGGGAGGUAGUGACAAUAAAUAACAAUGCUUGGCUCUUCGAGUCGUGCAAUUGGAAUGAGAACAAUUUAAAUCCCUUAACGAGGAUCAAUUGGAGGGCAAGUCUGGUGCCAGCAGCCGCGGUAAUUCCAGCUCCAAUAGCGUAUAUUAAAGUUGUUGCAGUUAAAAAGCUCGUAGUUGGAUUUCUGUUUUGAGCGUCCGGUCCUUUUUCUUUGAAAUUGGUACUAAGGAUGUUUGAGACAUUUUUGUGAGGAUGUUUUUCUGCCAUUAAGUUGGUGGUUGAAUAGACUUGCAUCGUUUACUGUGAAAAAAUUAGAGUGUUUAAAGCAGGCGUUUGCUCAUUGAAUACAUUAGCAUGGAAUAAUAAGAUACGACCUUGGUGGUCUAUUUUGUUGGUUUG